AGUGAACGCUGGCGGUAGGCCUAACACAUGCAAGUCGAACGGCAGCACAGUAAGAGCUUGCUCUUACGGGUGGCGAGUGGCGGACGGGUGAGGAAUAUAUCGGAAUCUACUUUUUCGUGGGGGAUAACGUAGGGAAACUUACGCUAAUACCGCAUACGACCUACGGGUGAAAGCAGGGGAUCUUCGGACCUUGCGCGAUUGAAUGAGCCGAUGUCGGAUUAGCUAGUUGGCGGGGUAAAGGCCCACCAAGGCGACGAUCCGUAGCUGGUCUGAGAGGAUGGUCAGCCACACUGGAACUGAGACACGGUCCAGACUCCUACGGGAGGCAGCAGUGGGGAAUAUUGGACAAUGGGCGCAAGCCUGAUCCAGCCAUACCGCGUGGGUGAAGAAGGCCUUCGGGUUGUAAAGCCCUUUUGUUGGGAAAGAAAAGCAGCAGGUUAAUACCCCGCUGUUCUGACGGUACCCAAAGAAUAAGCACCGGCUAACUUCGUG
RNAcentral lists this ribosomal RNA (492 nucleotides) under uncultured bacterium. RNAcentral describes it as "partial 16S ribosomal RNA". It matches the Rfam family "Bacterial small subunit ribosomal RNA", at positions 29 to 507 of the family's 1533-position model. The record is from RNAcentral.